Molecule: ribosomal RNA, 458 nt
Filed under: uncultured bacterium
Lineage: Bacteria
Description: bacterial SSU rRNA
Rfam family: Bacterial small subunit ribosomal RNA
Source: RNAcentral
UAGGGAAUAUUGGGCAAUGGAGGGAACUCUGACCCAGCCAUGCCGCGUGCAGGAUGAAGGCGUUAUGCGUUGUAAACUGCUUUUUAUAUAGGAAGAAAUAGUCCUUGCGAGGAAAGUUGACGGUACUAUAUGAAUAAGCACCGGCUAACUCCGUGCCAGCAGCCGCGGUAAUACGGAGGGUGCAAGCGUUGUCCGGAUUUAUUGGGUUUAAAGGGUGCGUAGGCGGUUUAUUAAGUCAGUGGUGAAAGACGGUCGCUCAACGAUUGCAGUGCCAUUGAUACUGGUAGACUUGAGUAUGAUUGAGGUAGCUGGAAUGGAUAGUGUAGCGGUGAAAUGCAUAGAUAUUAUCCAGAACACCAAUUGCGUAGGCAAGUUACUAAGUCAUAACUGACGCUGAGGCACGAAAGUGUGGGUAUCAAACAGGAUUAGAUACCCCGGAGCGGGCUGGCAAGGCGCAU